UGGGAAUUUUGGACAAUUGGGCGAAAGCCUGAUCCAGCAAUGCCGCGUGUGUGAAGAAGGCCUUCGGGUUGUAAAGCACUUUUGUCCGGAAAGAAAUCCUUGGCUCUAAUACAGUCGGGGGAUGACGGUACCGGAAGAAUAAGCACCGGCUAACUACGUGCCAGCAGCCGCGGUAAUACGUAGGGUGCAAGCGUUAAUCGGAAUUACUGGGCGUAAAGCGUGCGCAGGCGGUUUGCUAAGACCGAUGUGAAAUCCCCGGGCUCAACCUGGGAACUGCAUUGGUGACUGGCAGGCUAGAGUAUGGCAGAGGGGGGUAGAAUUCCACGUGUAGCAGUGAAAUGCGUAGAGAUGUGGAGGAAUACCGAUGGCGAAGGCAGCCCCCUGGGCCAAGUACUGACGCUCAUGCACGAAAA
Molecule: ribosomal RNA, 413 nt
Filed under: uncultured bacterium
Lineage: Bacteria
Description: partial 16S ribosomal RNA
Rfam family: Bacterial small subunit ribosomal RNA
Source: RNAcentral